Molecule: non-coding RNA, 392 nt
Organism: Pleuronectes platessa (European plaice)
Lineage: Eukaryota; Metazoa; Chordata; Actinopteri; Pleuronectiformes; Pleuronectidae
Source: the annotation of a RefSeq genome assembly
ACCACCAACCAGACGUUCAACAAACGACCAUGAUGACUUUAACUAAAUGUCUCACAUUUCUGCUGCUGUCAGCCAUUUCUGGUGUUUGCAGUCAGACUCUGACUGAAUCUGAACCGGUGGUGAAGCGGCCCGGAGAAUCCCACAAACUGACGUGUACAUAUGCAGGGAUAUCUGAUGACUCUGCUCCUAUCAGCUGGAUCAGACAAGCUGAAGGAAAAGGCCUGGAGUGGGUUGCCUUCAUUUCUGCUUCAUCAGCAGACACUAAAUAUUAUUCAGCAUCUGUCAAGAAUCGCUUCACAAUUUCCAGAAACAACGACAUGGACCAGGUGUAUCUGCACAUGAGCAGCCUGACGACUGAAGACUGUGCUGUUUAUUAGUGUGCUCGAGAGCCA